RNAcentral lists this ribosomal RNA (253 nucleotides) under uncultured bacterium. Its description in RNAcentral is "partial 16S ribosomal RNA". It matches the Rfam family "Bacterial small subunit ribosomal RNA", at positions 524 to 776 of the family's 1533-position model. The record is from RNAcentral.
UACAUACUGUGCGAACGUUAUUCGGAUUCACUGGGCUUAAAGGGUGCGUAGGCGUCUUGUUAAGUAGGAUGUGAAAGCCCCCGGCUCAACCGGGGAACUGCAUUCUAAGCUGACUCGCUAGAGUGAGAUAGGGGUGUGUGGAACUGCCAGUGGAGCGGUGAAAUGUGUUGAUAUUGGCAGGAACGCCGGUGGCGAAAGCGACACACUGGGUCUCUACUGACGCUGAGGGACGAAGGCGUGGGGAGCGAACAGG